This 2270-nucleotide long non-coding RNA is filed under the name Panax ginseng (ginseng). Its description in RNAcentral is "long non-coding RNA (PGIN_LNC007866)". Lineage: Eukaryota; Viridiplantae; Streptophyta; Magnoliopsida; Apiales; Araliaceae. The record is from RNAcentral.
AUAUCACGUACGUAUAUGUUCAUUCAUAUACACAGACCGUAAUUAAUAUUGUUGAGAUCGAAAAACAAAUUCAUCGUAUCGAAAGUAUGUUCAACCAAGUUAAUACGAGUUUCUGUAUCUGUAUUCAUAAUCUUUUUUCUCUUAACGAAUUACUAUAUUAGGAAAGGAAUGUUCCACUUUUAAUAAUCCAAUCUUCUUCCUUCUUCAAUCAUUUUGCUACCAAAGUCGCUUCUUAAGUUAUUCCUUGUAUUUAUAUAUAGAUGUAGAGAGAGAAAGUUUGAAUCUUUUUUGUUUUACUAGUACUUGUGAUUCUUGUAGAUGUGUGAUCGAGCAAAUUUUAAUGAUGGGUAAUGGCGGGUGGUGGAUUAGAUCGGAAUAAUAAUAAUAUUAUAUUGAGCGGGGUUAUUGAUGGGUAUUAGGAACAGGAGCUCAAGAUUUCGUCAUUUUUUACUACUUAGAUUGAAGCCUCUCUGGCCCAGGCAUAUUCAUCAUCAGAUGGGCACCAUGAAGUAAUUAAUUACUUUCCCAUUUCCUUUUUAUUUAUUUUUCAUAUUGCAGUUAGUUUUUUUUUUUUUUUAAGUUUAUAAUUGCGUGCCUAAUAACUGUUUUCGUUUGUUUAUUUAUUAUCCUCAAGUCAUCGUCCAAGCUUUAUUAAUUGUUCUAAGUUAAUUUGCUUUUAUGACUUUCUUUCUGUUUGGUGGCUGCAAGAAUGUGUAAAGGAAUUGAAAUUUUAACAAUUUUCUCCCAGUAUAUUGGAUUUGUGAUUAGAAAGGUUAUUCUCCAUAAUAUUCACCUCCACUUUAAAUAUUUUACAUAAAAAGGGUGAUCCAUAGUUGUAGUUGUUUCUUUUAUAAGGUUUCUCAGCUAUCCAUCAGGAGUUAGUGAUGAUUCCUUGAAUAAUUAUCAAAAUCCCUUUGUUCUCGAGUUUGCUAAACACACAAAACUAAUGGCCCAGUAAUUAAGAAUGGGUUUGCACUUGAAUUUAAGUGAUGAGGUCGCAAAGAGGGAAUUAGGGCUCUUAUUUGACUAAAGGUUGGUUCUUUGCUUUCUUUUAGAAUCAAAGUCACUAUUAAUCCUCUACAACUUACUCUGUUUGAUUUAAGCUGCCUUGGAUACGAUUAGUUCCUUAAAAAACCAAAGUCCGGCAUUUUAUGAAUGUCCUCGUCCAUCAUUUGUGCGGUACAGUUGUGGUAGUGGCUUCUUCCAAAUAUGAUAUUAGUUGCUGCAAAAUCUACAACUAAUAAGUAAUAAUUCAUCAGAGGCAAAAGCUCCACUUGGCAGCGGAUGGUUAUGGAUUAUUAUAUUGUUUUUAUUAAUUCUCUAAGUCAUUGUAACUGGGCUGGCAUCGGUUACAAUACACAAGUAGUGUCACUUCUAUAGACCUGUUCAUUACUCCGGGAAAGUAGAACUGAUAAGCGAACUUGGGAUGCUGAAUUUUUCAUCAUUUUCGAAUCUUUCUGCUCUUGAUCAAUUAUGUGGACUGCAUGGGUAGCAUCCCAUACCCUGAAUACCUUCAUCGGAACUUCUUACUGGUAAGCACCUCCUUCCUAGGCGAACCUCACCCAACUAUCACUUUCAAUCUCACGCAAUAAUUACUGGUUACAAUCUCACAAGUAGUAUCCUUUUCUUCUUCUUUAUGAUUUCUUUUAUAGCUAUAUCACAAAACCCCAUUCGUCCAGAAGCACAGAGUUAAGCCACGGGCCUCAAACACCCUGAACCCACUUCCCAGGGAUGGAGGAAAACAAGUUUAUUUUUUUAACACUUUUUCACAUGAAAAAUGUCGUUAUAGAUGUAUCGUUGUUAUAGCAACGAUUUUUAUGUAUAAAUAUUAUUUUUUGUUGUGAAUUUAUUAGUUUCCUAUUUUUUUUUCACGAAUAUAUUAUAUAUCAGCACAUGUCCAUUUUUCGCUAAAUAUUGACAUGUUAAUUAAGUAGAAAAAGUGAUUUGCUUAAUCAGCCAUGUUGUGAAAGUUUUUUGUGAUACAUGGUUAGGAGUUAAGAUGUUCUCACUUUAAUUUAUUUUAUUUUAUUACAUUUACUUUCACGUUGGUCACAAUCUGACUUUAUCAAAUAUUAUUGCAUUUUUUGCUUAAUAAUGAGGCACAAGUUUUUUUAAAAAAUAAUUCCAAUAAUUAUAUUGAAUACGAAGUGCAAGUUUGUGUUGUAGCCUAGGUGAUUUUUACUAUAUGGUUAUUUAUGCUUCAAAUUGAAAACAACAUUACCUGUGAUUAAUUGCAACAAGUCAGCUUAAUUGUAAAAUUUUCUAUCAAG